GGGGAUGUGGCUCAGUGGUGAGAGCUUGCCUAGCAUGCACAAAGUCCUGGGUUCAGUUCCCAGCACACCG
Molecule: transfer RNA, 70 nt
Filed under: Marmota monax (woodchuck)
Lineage: Eukaryota; Metazoa; Chordata; Mammalia; Rodentia; Sciuridae
Description: tRNA.Ala
Rfam family: tRNA
About the family: Transfer RNA (tRNA) molecules are approximately 80 nucleotides in length. Their secondary structure includes four short double-helical elements and three loops (D, anti-codon, and T loops).
Source: RNAcentral